AGAGUUUGAUCAUGGCUCAGAUUGAACGCUGGCGGCAUGCCUUACACAUGCAAGUCGAACGGCAGCACGGGGGCAACCCUGGUGGCGAGUGGCGAACGGGUGAGUAACACAUCGGAACGUACCCAGUUGUGGGGGAUAACCAGUCGAAAGACGGGCUAAUACCGCAUGAUCUGGCGACAGCAAAGCGGGGGAUCGGUAACGACCUCGCGCGAUUGGAGCGGCCGAUGUCCGAUUAGCUAGUUGGCGGGGUAAAGGCCCACCAAGGCUUUGAUCGGUAGCUGGUCUGAGAGGAUGAUCAGCCACACUGGGACUGAGACACGGCCCAGACUCCUACGGGAGGCAGCAGUGGGGAAUUUUGGACAAUGGGGGCAACCCUGAUCCAGCCAUGCCGCGUGAGUGAAGAAGGCCUUCGGGUUGUAAAGCUCUUUCGGUAGGAACGAAACGGUUACGGCUAAUACCUGUGACUAAUGACGGUACUUACAGAAGAAGCACCGGCUAACUACGUGCCAGCAGCCGCGGUAAUACGUAGGGUGCGAGCGUUAAUCGGAAUUACUGGGCGUAAAGGGUGCGCAGGCGGUCUCGUAAGCUGGGUGUGAAAGCCCCGGGCUUAACCUGGGAAUGGCAUUCAGGACUGCGAGGCUUUGAGUGCGGCAGAGGGAGGUGGAAUUCCCGUGUAGCAGUGAAAUGCGUAGAGAUGUGGAGGAACACCGAUGGCGAAGGCAGCCUCCUGGGCCAGCACUGACGCUCAUGCACGAAAGCGUGGGGAGCAAACAGGAUUAGAUACCCUAGUAGUCC
Molecule: ribosomal RNA, 795 nt
Filed under: uncultured bacterium
Lineage: Bacteria
Description: bacterial SSU rRNA
Rfam family: Bacterial small subunit ribosomal RNA
Source: RNAcentral